This is a long non-coding RNA of Carassius auratus (goldfish), 1712 nucleotides long. NCBI's taxonomy places the organism in Eukaryota, Metazoa, Chordata, Actinopteri, Cypriniformes, Cyprinidae. The record is from Ensembl.
AAUACAGUAAAUGUUAACUGAAAUAAAAUAUAUAUGUAUAAAAAAAGAAGUUACAAAAGAACCAAUUUUCAUUUAUUUUAACCGAAAUAGCUAAAACCAAAACUGAAAUAAAAAUAACACUACAUAGACAUAUUAAAGAAAAACAACUGAUAAAAAAUAAAGUUUUUCAUCUGUAUAUAUAUAUAUAUAUAUAUAUAUAUAUAUAUAUAUAUAUGUGUGUGUGUGUGUGUGUAUGUGUCUGUGUGUUUAUUAAUACAUUUAAUUUCUAUUUUAUUUUCUUCUUCACUAUAAAUGUUACUAUAAUAAGCACGUUUCUGUCUCAGCACUUGAAAACAUUUCCGUCUCUCUAGAUCUUCAGUCCGUUGUCAAAGGCAGGGGUCGUCGGGUGUCGGACCCUGAGGAAACAGUAUCCCGUGCUUCCCCUCGAGCACUUCCUGUGCGUGUCACUCAAGAGCCGGGCUCGUGUCUCUGAUCAAAGGCCACGAACAGGAGCAGACGACAGGGUGAUGCUGAAGGAUGUCCUGAACGGCUGGGUCAGGGCCAGAUGUCCAGCACAGUCUCACUUCAUCACAUUAAUCCAGCCUCGGAUCCAGACAUGUUUCACAUCCGUCCAACACAAACACCAUCCUUGGAAAUGACAUGACAAGUGUAGCUCGGUUUGCUAGUGUUCAUCUGGAGUUUUCUCUCUUCAGCACUGUAAACAGUUUACUCAUCCAGACACUUCUCACUCAGAACUGCAGACAGAAGGCCGAUCGCAGCGUGAGCGUGACUUUCUCUCACACGCUGUUGUUGUUAUAUACCGCAGCGACGGAGCCAGCGAUGAUGAUGAUGAUUUCAUGCCUCUCUAGCUCAGGUUGGAGGAUGGAAGCUGGUUACCGUGGAAACAAUGGAAUCCUAAUAAAAUGGCCAUUGGUUUAAAACAAAACAAAACAAGGAAACUAUUUAUCAUUCGUCUCCUUAUAGUUUCAACCUGUCCUUCAGGUGCCAAUGAAUAAUCAGAGGACAGGCCAUUGAGCUCCUUACAGGGAUGGAGUGAUGUUUAUGAUGAUGUAAGCACUCCAGUUCACUCAUCAAACUCAUUACCCAGACAAAGAACACGCUGCUGUUUUACAUUUCAAAGAAGCUGAUUAGAGAAUUAGCUGAAUUCUCAUUAACCUUGAUAUGAGAGGCUUCGUUACAGAUUGAAGAUGCACAUCAAAGCCGUGCUGUUAUUGUGCUUACCUCAUCAAACUGAUGAAUUAGAGAUUUUUCCGUCCUGAUCUACACCUCCAGUUUAUCUUAAACGGAGAGCCGACCCUCAGAAAUAUCUGUCAUCAUUUACUCAUCAUAUGGGUUUAAAAUGACAUGAGGAUGAGGAAUUGACCGUUUAUUUAUUAUUAUUAUUUUUAACACUAUUCCUUUAAGGAAUCGUUUAUUUAUUUAUUUAUUUUAAAAUGUUAUCAUUUUAAAUUUGAAUUAUUCCUUAAGGAAUUAAUUUUUUCUCAACUGAGAAUGUCCAGGAAUAUAGUAUUUAUUUAUAUUUAGAGCUGGACAGUAUGGCGAAUAUAUAUAAUGCCAAUUAUAUCAACUGCUAUAUUGUGUAUAUUGCAGUAUUCAUUUAUUUUAGUAUAAGUGAGAUAGUAGCUUUUUUUUUCCUUCAUUUUGUUGCAUUUUAUUUUUAUUAGUUGUUUUUCUUUAAUAUAUUUGUAUAGAAAUUUUAUAAUACUUUUUUU